Molecule: ribosomal RNA, 464 nt
Filed under: uncultured bacterium
Lineage: Bacteria
Description: bacterial SSU rRNA
Rfam family: Bacterial small subunit ribosomal RNA
Source: RNAcentral
UAAGGAAUAUUGGUCAAUGCCCGGAAGGGUGAACCAGCCAUCCCGCGUGAAGGAUGAAGGGGCUCUGCCUUGUAAACUUCUUUUGAAUGGGACGAAAAAGCCUCACUUGUGAGGAACUGACGGUACCAUUAGAAUAAGCACCGGCUAACUCCGUGCCAGCAGCCACGGUAAUACGGAGGGUGCGAGCGUUAUCCGGAAUCACUGGGUUUAAAGGGUGCGUAGGCGGCUGUAUAAGUCAGUGGUGAAAGGCUGUGGCUUAACCAUGGGAUUGCCAUUGAUACUGUACGGCUUGAAUUAGGAUGAGGUUGGCGGAAUGUGACAUGUAGCGGUGAAAUGCUUAGAUAUGUCAUGGAACAUCGAUUGCGAAGGCAGCUGACUAGACCUUAAUUGACGCUGAGGCACGAAAGCGUGGGGAGCGAACAGGAUUAGAUACCCAAGUAGUCCCUGAGCGGGCUGGCAAGGCG